CGUGGGGAACCGUGCCCCACUAGUCUGGGAUACCACUUGGAAACAAGGUGCUAAUACCGGAUAAGAAAGCGGAUCGCAUGAUCAGCUUUUAAAAGGCGGCGUAAGCUGUCGCUAUGGGAUGGCCCCGCGGUGCAUUAGCUAGUUGGUAAGGUAAAGGCUUACCAAGGCGAUGAUGCAUAGCCGAGUUGAGAGACUGAUCGGCCACAUUGGGACUGAGACACGGCCCAAACUCCUACGGGAGGCAGCAGGC
This 250-nucleotide ribosomal RNA is filed under the name uncultured Lactobacillus sp. RNAcentral's name for it is "partial 16S ribosomal RNA". It matches the Rfam family "Bacterial small subunit ribosomal RNA", at positions 116 to 354 of the family's 1533-position model. Lineage: Bacteria; Bacillati; Bacillota; Bacilli; Lactobacillales; Lactobacillaceae. The record is from RNAcentral.